AGACGUCUACAUUAGAUACCCGCGUAGUCCCAGCCGUAAACUAUGCGCGUUAGGUGUAUCGGUGACCACGAGUUACCGAGGUGCCGAAGGGAAACCGUGAAACGUGCCGCCUGGGAAGUACGGUCGCAAGGCUGAAACUUAAAGGAAAUUGGCGGGGGAGCACCACAACGGGUGGAGCCUGCGGUUUAAUUUGGACUCAACGCCGGGAAGCUCACCGGAUAAGACAGCGGAAUGAUUGCCGGGCUGAAGACUCUGCAUGACUAGCUG
Molecule: ribosomal RNA, 267 nt
Filed under: uncultured archaeon
Lineage: Archaea
Description: partial 16S ribosomal RNA
Rfam family: Archaeal small subunit ribosomal RNA
Source: RNAcentral